CCUACGGGAGGCAGCAGUGGGGAAUAUUGGACAAUGGGGGCAACCCUGAUCCAGCCAUGCCGCGUGUGUGAAGAAGGCCCUCGGGUUGUAAAGCACUUUCAGUGAGGAAGAACGCCUGGUGGUUAAUACCCAUCAGGAAAGACAUCACUCACAGAAGAAGCACCGGCUAACUCCGUGCCAGCAGCCGCGGUAAUACGGAGGGUGCGAGCGUUAAUCGGAAUUACUGGGCGUAAAGCGCGCGUAGGUGGCUUGAUAAGCCGGUUGUGAAAGCCCUGGGCUCAACCUGGGAACGGCAUCCGGAACUGUCAAGCUAGAGUGCAGGAGAGGAAGGUAGAAUUCCCGGUGUAGCGGUGAAAUGCGUAGAGAUCGGGAGGAAUACCAGUGGCGAAGGCGGCCUUCUGGACUGACACUGACACUGAGGUGCGAAAGCGUGGGUAGCAAACAGGAUUAGAUACCCCAGUAGUC
Molecule: ribosomal RNA, 465 nt
Filed under: Vreelandella stevensii
Lineage: Bacteria; Pseudomonadati; Pseudomonadota; Gammaproteobacteria; Oceanospirillales; Halomonadaceae
Description: partial 16S ribosomal RNA
Rfam family: Bacterial small subunit ribosomal RNA
Source: RNAcentral